Synchiropus splendidus (mandarinfish) is the source of this 937-nucleotide long non-coding RNA. RefSeq lists it as uncharacterized. The transcript has 3 exons. Lineage: Eukaryota; Metazoa; Chordata; Actinopteri; Syngnathiformes; Callionymidae. The record is from RefSeq and is a predicted model, not a curated record.
GCUGCUACAUUUGGUUACCUUACCCUGUUUUCUAGGAUCCCUCAUUCAAGAGGUGCAGGACCUUUUGGGACCUGCCAUAGACCCAGCACCUUCACACUGGAAAGACAGGAAAGCUUCAACUCUGGAAAAGUGGACUGUGUUAAGGCCGUAUAUGGUUAAUCAGAUGUUACAGUCUGAGAAGCCUAUAGAGGGAACUUGUCACCACUGCAGAUCUAAGACUGCUGUUGUGAAAUGUCAGGAUUGUUUGCCUAGACCACUUCACUGUGCAGCCUGUGAUGUUUCCAUCCACAAUUCCAUGGUUUUCCAUAAUAGAUCAUCCAUGAUAGAGGGAUUCUACAGGCCACUGCCACCAACCACUCACAUCAGGGAAGAGAAGGGAGGAAAAUUCUCCUUCCAUGAAAGAGAGUGCAUUUUGCCAGUAAUGCAUCCAUGCUAUGACUGCUGCUCUGGGCAAACAACCUUUUCUGCAGGAAAGCAAGUAAUUCUGAUUGGAAUGAAUGGUCGAUACAAUGUGUCCCUCCCAACUGUCAGCUGCUCCUGUGGGAAAGCUUUGGAUGUCGGUAUUAGUGAGCUGAUUGAAAGUGGCUACUGGCCAGCUACAGUCCAUUUUGAGACGCUGUACACAGUGGAUUUGUUCGCUACAUACGAAGAGCUCAAGAUUACUGCACCAGGAAUGUAACGACAAGCUUUCGUUGGUAUGCUUGAGCAGCGCACAAAACUCUUUGGUCGGGUUAGUACAUCAUUGGACUAAUUGCCUGCAGAAUUGAAAGAGUUUAUGUGGCGACACCAUACAAAAAUCAUUCCUGGAAUGGUCGUACGCAAAAUUUGAAGUUGAGAGGCUGUCUGAAGUUGAUCAGUUUCGGUGCCCAGCCUGCACACCCUCAAUGUUAGCUGUCUCAGUGGAUGGGAACCGCAAGCUUUAUCACUUUAAGAGCCA